UACGUAGGGGGCGAGCGUUGUCCGGAGUUACUGGGCGUAAAGCGCUUGUAGGCGGUCCACCAAGUUUGGGGUGACAGUUGCCGACUUAAUCGGCAAAGUGCCUCAAAGACUGGCGGACUUGAGGGCCACAGAGGGACAUGGAACUCCAGGUGUAGUGGUGAAAUGCGUAGAUAUCUGGAAGAACACCAAAGGCGAAGGCAGUGUCCUGGGUGGUCGCUGACGCUGAGAGGCGAAGC
This 236-nucleotide ribosomal RNA is filed under the name uncultured bacterium. RNAcentral's name for it is "partial 16S ribosomal RNA". It matches the Rfam family "Bacterial small subunit ribosomal RNA", at positions 524 to 760 of the family's 1533-position model. The record is from RNAcentral.